Molecule: long non-coding RNA, 455 nt
Organism: Panicum virgatum (switchgrass)
Lineage: Eukaryota; Viridiplantae; Streptophyta; Magnoliopsida; Poales; Poaceae
Exons: 2
Source: RefSeq, a predicted model, not a curated record
AUUUCCAUUAUGAUAGGCUCAAAAGUUUGCAACAAAACACAUUUAUCAUGUAUGCAGUUGCAAGCGACCUACUGGCGAUCAGAUAGCCUUCUGAAGAAUGCUUGAAAUGGCAUAUAUUGAAUUGAACUUUACCUUAUGCUAUUUAAAGAUAUAAUGGUGAUUUAGAAUUAUUGAGUCGAGGCCUCCAGAUGUGAAAACAAAGCAUGGAGGCCAAUUAGGGAGAAGUUGAAGCAGUCAGGGAAGAAGGUAAGCAAGAAGGACAAACAAGAAGUGGUGUCAGAAUUCCUGACAAAAAAUGUGUGUAUCACUAACACAAUAGCGUAGCAUCAAUGAGUUGUAGCUGAUUCACAGCAGAUUGUAUUUUGUAUGUCCAGGUAAUACCAGCCUCGAACAUGUAGUGACUUGCAGCUAAUAAAAUUCCUAUUGUUUUUGUAAUGGAUAACCGAUUUUUUGGG